UACGGGGGGGGCAAGCGUUGUUCGGAAUUACUGGGCGUAAAGGGCUCGUAGGCGGCCAACUAAGUCGGACGUGAAAUCCCUCGGCUUAACCUGGGAACUGCAUCCGAUACUGGAUGGCUUGAAUCCGGGAGAGGGAUGCAGAAUUCCAGGUGUAGCGGUGAAAUGCGUAGAUAUCUGGAGGAAUACCGGUGGCGAAGGCGGCAUCCUGGACCGGCAUUGACGCUGAGGAGCGAAAGCUAGGGGAGCAAACGGG
RNAcentral lists this ribosomal RNA (253 nucleotides) under uncultured bacterium. Its description in RNAcentral is "partial 16S ribosomal RNA". It matches the Rfam family "Bacterial small subunit ribosomal RNA", at positions 524 to 776 of the family's 1533-position model. The record is from RNAcentral.